Molecule: ribosomal RNA, 859 nt
Filed under: uncultured bacterium
Lineage: Bacteria
Description: bacterial SSU rRNA
Rfam family: Bacterial small subunit ribosomal RNA
Source: RNAcentral
CAGUCGAACGGCAGCACGGGAGCAAUCCUGGUGGCGAGUGGCGAACGGGUGAGUAAUAUAUCGGAACGUGCCCAGUCGUGGGGGAUAACGCAGCGAAAGCUGUGCUAAUACCGCAUACGAUCUAUGGAUGAAAGCGGGGGACCGUAAGGCCUCGCGCGAUUGGAGCGGCCGAUAUCAGAUUAGCUAGUUGGUGGGGUAAAAGCCCACCAAGGCGACGAUCUGUAGCUGGUCUGAGAGGACGACCAGCCACACUGGAACUGAGACACGGUCCAGACUCCUACGGGAGGCAGCAGUGGGGAAUUUUGGACAAUGGGCGCAAGCCUGAUCCAGCAAUGCCGCGUGCAGGAUGAAGGCCUUCGGGUUGUAAACUGCUUUUGUACGGAACGAAACGGUUCGCUUUAAUACAGUGGGCUAAUGACGGUACCGUAAGAAUAAGCACCGGCUAACUACGUGCCAGCAGCCGCGGUAAUACGUAGGGUGCGAGCGUUAAUCGGAAUUACUGGGCGUAAAGCGUGCGCAGGCGGUGAUGUAAGACAGAUGUGAAAUCCCCGGGCUCAACCUGGGACCUGCAUUUGUGACUGCAUCGCUAGAGUACGGUAGAGGGGGAUGGAAUUCCGCGUGUAGCAGUGAAAUGCGUAGAUAUGUGGAGGAAUACCAAUGGCGAAGGCAGCCCCCUGGGAUAACACUGACGCUCAUGCACGAAAGCGUGGGGAGCAAACAGGAUUAGAUACCCUGUAGUCCACGCCCUAAACGAUGCCGACUAGUUGUUGGGAAUUUACAUUCUCAGUAACGUAGCAACGCGUGAAGUCGGCCGCCUGGGGAGUACGGUCGCAAGAUUAAAACUCAAAGGAAUUGACGG